CCUUCCCCAAAUGUUUUAUAUAUUUAGCACAUGAUUGCUCUUCCCUUCCAAUACCAUCAUACCAACCAAAUCAACAUUUUCCAAACAAGACAACAACAAAAACCAAAUCACACCAAUAUCAAUAUGCAAUCCAAUUCUUUGAUAAACUCAACCCAAUUAUUCCAUCAAUUAUCAUCAACCAAAUCAAAUGGUUCAAAUUGCAAAAAAACCAAAUCUUUUGCUCCAAUUAUGGCUUCCAAAAGAGGAUCAGCUGACCCAAAUUUUGGGGGCAGAUUAGUUGAUGAGAACAUGAUAAUCCUAAGGAAAAGGAUCCAUGAGAUGAACAUGAUUGAGAAAAACUAUGAAGCACCUUCUAAUUGGAUGGAAUGGGAGAAACGUUAUUAUACAAACUAUGAUUCAAUCAUAUGUGAAGCAAUGGGAAUUUUGCAAACACAAUUGAUGAAUACUAGGCCAAGUGUUGCUCUUGGGGCUAUUGCUUUUGUUGCAAUUAGUGUCCCAACUUCCUCUAUUUUUAUUUUUCUUCAUCUUUUAGAAUUAGCUAAGUCUAUUUUAGCUGGGAUUAAUCUUGUUUAGCUAGCUUUUUAUGUGAUUAAUUAAUUUAAUGUUUUGAAUUAGUGGUUUGGUAUUUGGAAAAUAAACCAUCUAGUUCAUUUCAAAUUUAUAUUUUGGGAUUAGAUAUUAUACAUACUAAUACUAAUUGUUGUUACUUUUUUUGAUUUAUGAAAUAACAAUCUUAUAGUAUUCAUUUUGCUAUUUGAUUAAUUCUUUUCAUAGCAGCUCAUUUUAUUUGAGAAAUUCUCGAAAUACAUUAAUGAAGCUUAGGUUAAAAAUGUUGAACUAGAUGAAUACCAGAUCAUUAGUUGCCCAGUCAGACCCAAAGCUUUUUGAAAUUAUGGUCUGUUUAAAUUAACUUAUUUUUAAGUUUAUGUAAAACAACUUAUGCAAAUCAAUAAAUUUUCAUAUAUUAUUAUAAGUUUGUUAAGAUAAUUUAUGAAAAAAUAACUUAUAAAGAUACAAUUUUUAUCAAUAAGAACUUGUGUUUUGACAUAAAAAUUUAUUUAUUUGCAUAAACUUCUAUCUUUGUCAAUAAGAACUUAUGUUUAGAAAUAAAAACUUAUUUAUUUGCAUAAGUUUUUUUUUUCGUAAGCUCAAAAAUAAGUUAGAGUAGUGGUUAUUUACAUUGUAGUCCUUGGCCAUUUCUCUGAUUUCUGAUUCAGUAGCAAGCUACCGGAGAGGGAGAGGUAAACACACAGAGAUCGCAACUCAUCACACAAAAACGAAGAAAUCAAAGUAGAAAAUUAUUCGUCAAUCGUUUCAGUCCAUAGCUGAAACGAAUCAAAUGGAAUGAGCAAAGAUGUUACCAACAGUUUCCAAAGGACAUUCUUCUUCCUCUUCAUCUUCAUCGUCCUCUUGACCUAAUGCCACUCUUCUUCCUUACCUCCGCAGAAUUAUCAAGUGAUUUUGAGCGGCUUCAAUCAAUGCUUUAUGAACAUAUACUUCAGCCGACAAAUAUGAUAGCUAAAUUUUUUGACCGGUCUGUGUGAAGUAACAGAGACUACAACAUGAGAAAGCUUUAAUGAAAGUUUGGUUGUUUGUUUGACGAGUGUACUACCCCGAAAAUGCAUCAAUUUAGGUCUUCUACUACUAUCAAUUGAAGUUGAACUGUACUAAGUCAAGGUUGUUAGUGUAUUUUUAUGGUUAUUGAAUAGAAUUUGUUCAAAUGAAUACACUCAUUGCAA
Molecule: long non-coding RNA, 1739 nt
Organism: Trifolium pratense (red clover)
Lineage: Eukaryota; Viridiplantae; Streptophyta; Magnoliopsida; Fabales; Fabaceae
Exons: 2
Source: RefSeq, a predicted model, not a curated record